CAUCUUUUCUAGAAUUUUAUUUGAAAUCUGACCUGCCCAAUGAUUUUAAUUAAAUGGCCGCGGUAUUUUGACCGUGCAAAGGUAGCAUAAUCAUUAGUUUAUUAAUUGUGAACUUGUAUGAAUGGUUGGACGAGAUAUUAUCUGUCUUAUAUUAAUUAAUAUAAUUUAAAUUUUGAGUUAAAAUGCUUAAAUUUUUUUAAAGGACGAGAAGACCCUAUAGAUCUUUAUUUAUGGAAUUUUCAUAUUUUUUAGUUUAUUUAUUUAUGAAUGUUUUAUAUAUUUUGUUGGGGUGACAUUGAUAUAUGAUAAACUAUUAUUUUUUAAUAUUCAAUUAUUUUUGUAUGGUUGACCUUUUAUUAUUGUUAUAAGAAUUAGAUACCUUAGGGAUAACAGCGUAAUUCUUUUUGAGAGUUCAUAUCGACAAGAGAGAUUGCGACCUCGAUGUUGGAUUAAGAUUAUAAUUAGGUGUAGGUGCUUAANUAAUAA
Molecule: ribosomal RNA, 486 nt
Filed under: Candovia sp. E AC-2020
Lineage: Eukaryota; Metazoa; Arthropoda; Insecta; Phasmatodea; Lonchodidae
Description: partial large subunit ribosomal RNA
Source: RNAcentral